RNAcentral lists this ribosomal RNA (501 nucleotides) under uncultured bacterium. Its description in RNAcentral is "partial 16S ribosomal RNA". It matches the Rfam family "Bacterial small subunit ribosomal RNA", at positions 29 to 523 of the family's 1533-position model. The record is from RNAcentral.
AGUGAACGCUGGCGGCAGGCCUAACACAUGCAAGUCGAACGGUAGCACAGAGGAGCUUGCUCCUUGGGUGACGAGUGGCGGACGGGUGAGGAAUAUAUCGGAAUCUACCCUUUCGUGGGGGAUAACGUAGGGAAACUUACGCUAAUACCGCAUACGAACUGAGGUUGAAAGCGGCGGACCGCAAGGCGUCGCGCGGAUGGAUGAGCCGAUAUCCGAUUAGCUAGUUGGCGGGGUAAAGGCCCACCAAGGCGACGAUCGGUAGCUGGUCUGAGAGGAUGAGCAGCCACAGUGGAACUGAGACACGGUCCAGACUCCUACGGGAGGCAGCAGUGGGGAAUAUUGGACAAUGGGCGCAAGCCUGAUCCAGCCAUGCCGCGUGUGUGAAGAAGGCCCUCGGGUUGUAAAGCUCUGUCAGUGGGAACGAAUAAGUCGAUUAAUAACCGAUGAUGACGGUACCCGCAAAGGAAGCACCGGCUAACUCUGUGCCAGCCGCCGCCGUAA